Peromyscus leucopus (white-footed mouse) is the source of this 1124-nucleotide long non-coding RNA. RefSeq lists it as uncharacterized. The record is from RefSeq and is a predicted model, not a curated record. NCBI's taxonomy places the organism in Eukaryota, Metazoa, Chordata, Mammalia, Rodentia, Cricetidae. The transcript is spliced from 3 exons.
CUGUGCUGUGAUGGGUAAGGUGCAAACCCAACCUUAUCUGCGUGGUAUGUCUCCACCUAUGAAUCGUUAGCCAGGAAGCCCUUCACUUUGUAGGGCUUUUUGAGCAGAAUCUGAUUGAUAAACAGAUAUCUCUGGACCAGAUGUUUCCCGUGGCUUUGAGGAAAGAGGCCAGCAAAUGAAGAGUUAUGAGCCAGUUUCCCUAAGAUGAAGCAGCAGCAGCAGAACAUCACUGCAGAACCUGUGAGGAAGCAGUCACACCACAACUGGAUCACAUGUCACACAGUAAAAUCCUGAUUCACUUCACUGCCUACUCACAGCUUUCACUAUUAAUGAAAAGAACAACGAACACUCACCUGGCCCGGCCUUUGAUGAACAUUCAUGUAGAAUGAGGCCCUAAGAAGCAGUUAUAAGGAAGAAAUGUCAUGAGAUCAUCUCCCUCUAGACCCAUAAUUAUCAUGUCCUCUAUGGAGAGAAGUUCGGAUCUUGAGGUUGUUAAAUAGUGGUAUCAUCAAAUGGAAGAGUGAACUUUCCUAAUUCCAGGAAAACAGUGGAGUAGGAACAGCUGAGCUCUGGGUUUCCUGUGUGUGAGCUCUUCUCCCUAGGCCAUAUCUGUCUGUAUGGAUGAGUUGAUCCCAGUCCUUGUGGACAAAACAAAAGGAAAAAUAAUAAUGUCCCAUUUAAAAGAAGUAGGAAAACAUUUUCACUCCCCAAAGGCAUCCUCUGCUUCCAAAACGUUCCUGAAAGCCUCCUUGCUUACUUGACAGUGUCUUCGGGGUCUCACCUGGAAAUUAACAACACUUUUGUUAAACUUAAGAAAAUGUCACCUCCUCCAAACACACUUGGGAAACAUAAUUUUUCUUAGAGGGCACAGACGUGAAGCAAUAUAAUCAGCAGAUAGUGAGCUGUGGGACUAAGGAUGUAACUCAGAUGGUAGAGUGCAUGCCUAGAAAGUAUUGUUUAUGUGGGACACCAUGCAGAAAUCAAACUUCACGUUAUAUGUACAGGUGAAGGAGAAGAAUCCCAAGUCAAUGGCAGACACAAGACCUGCAAUAAGAUCACAGAAGAAAACUGUCCCAAACUAAGGAAAGAGUCACCCAUACAAAUACAAGAAGCACACAGAACAC